AUUUAUAAAAAAAUAUUUCUCACUUUUUUAUUUCACAUAUUAGAUAUUACUAAUAAAUUAUUUCUCGCUUUUUUAAGUUAACUCAGGUUUUACAGAGCUUCCAUUGCCAUUUUCAUGUCUUCUCGCAGAAGAAAUCAGUCCGCCAUGGCAAUCAUGCACAAUCACACCUCUUAAAACACACUUCUUCCAUCUUUCUCUCUCUUUAAAUCAUCAUCAUGAAACUUCCAUUACUACUACCUUCAACUCACACUACCUCUCUCACUCUCCUCCCUCACUUCAUCAUCUCAACCUCAAAUUCUCCUCAUAAUUCUCGCGUCUUUCUCAAACCUCGCAACUUUUCUCCUCUUUCUUCCUUCACUCGUCGCAAAUCAUCAACACUUGUCUCUCUUAAUUCUUCAAAUGAAUUAAACGAUUCCAAUUCUAUUACUGAGGAAAUUCAGACACAACGAUAUGAUUCGGAUAAUCGAGCCGAAUUCGUCGAAAUUAAAAACCCUAAUUUUCCGCCUUUCAUCUCAUCGUGGCGUUCUAAGUUCAGUUUUAGUGACCAAGCUUUCUUUCUCUUAACAUUCAUCGCUUGCACGACUUCUGUGGCAUUUGUCGGCUUUGUUGCUGCUGCUGUUCCUACCUUGUAUGCUAUGGGAAGAGCUGCUAAUUCUUUUGCGAAGCUAGCAGACACUGCUCGGGAGGAGCUCCCUAGUACAAUGACAGCUAUUAGACUUUCAGGCAUAGAAGUUAGUGAUCUUACCGUGGAAUUGAGUGAUUUGAGCCAAGAGAUUUCAGAGGGAGUUAAUAAAUCUGCACAAGCAGUUCAAGCAGCCAAACUUGGAAUGCAACAGAUUGGAUCUAUUGCUCGUGAACAGACUAUCUCAAUGAUUCAGGAGAGAGCGAGCCUUCCUGUCAUCUCUAUGCAACCAGUUGUCUCUGGUGCUGCAAGAAAGACCUCUCGUGCUGUUGGCCAUGCUACAAGGACCUUGAUGAAUUUUAUCUCUGGACGAGAGUCUAUCGCUGAAGAAACCGAAUGAUCCAGUUUACAAGUUCACAAAUUAUGGAGCCCGAGGAGCUUUUUUUUUCUUCUAAGAAACCUUUACUCCUUAUAAAUGCUGUGUAGUGCAAUCAACUACAUAUCUGGAAGACUAUAAUGAGAUGAUAAACAAUCCUUUUGAGCCGAAGAAUUAUACGAGGAAAACCAAAAUGCAGCUACUUGCUUGAUAAUGUUUUAUAAAACAUUCAUCUGCUGUUGUAACAAGGCUAGUUGAGAAGAAUUCAGUUUGAAAAGUUGUAUCCAAAGAAGUUGUGACCUUCAUCAAUGAAAACCACGGUGUUCCGGUGCUAACAUAGCCCGAAAUGGCUGGGACUUCAUGUUUCCUGUUUCAGAGAUGCUCUCGUUGAAAUACCCCAACCAUUUAUGGUGCUACAUAGGUAGAACCUAAGUCACCUAUUAAACAACUUGUUCAGUACCCCAAGUUGGGAUGAAAAGGGAAGGGAAGAGAGGAGAAGGAUGGGACAGUAUUAGCAUGUUAUUGGUUUGGAAUAGCAAGAGGUCAGGAAUAUUUUCUACCAAUUCUUUCAAUAAGAUUAAUUGUUAAAGAAGGUAUAUUUGACAGUGAUAUAGCAAAGUAUUAUUUACUUGUAACCUGGAAAGAGUUUCAGAAUUACAAAAAAAAGAAAAAGAAAAAGAAAAACGUUUCCUUUUCUUCUUGUCCUCCUUCUUUCCAUCCCUCCUAUAAUUACCUAUAUAAUACAAUAAUUACUUUUUUAUUAUAUUUUACAUGAAAUUGGAUUGUUUACCAUGGAGAAUCUUAACUCUUCCUAGAUAGGUAUCAGAUGAUUUCCCGUAACCCUGAAUCUCAAAGGAAGGUCAAGAGUUUAUCCUAGAUGAUAACUUGACAUGGAUAUUCUAUACUAUCUGCAAUUCGACUUGCUGAUUGUCCUUGAUUACAUUAUCUACUGACUGCAACUUCAAAUCUUGACUCGUAUCGUCAUGAUUCGAUUCUUUGCUUGUUUCGUCAUGAUUCGAAUCCUGCCCAAUCUUGCUGUUGCACCACUUGUAGAAGAUGUAGAGAGUCAUCUGAACUAUUCCAAGUAAAAAUCCCAGAAUAUUUGGUCCCUGUUUGUCAUAAAUCAUAGGAUUAGCUUCUAAUAGAGUGUUUGAUCACGAGGAAAUUAUUCCUGAAAAACAAAAGUUUUAGCUUCUUUGUUUGGUUGGAAAACAGUUUUUCCAGAAGGGGAAAAUAAUUCUUUCAAAGAUAGACAACAUUUUCCUUUCAAAUUGAAGGUAUGUCAAAUUUUCCUCCUUAUUCCUUACCUUCCUCUUUCACUUGUCUUGUUCAUCCUCAUCCCUCCAUUUUAAUUUUCUUUUUCUUCCUAACUAUUCUUGUAAGGAACCAAACAGAGAUAUAUGAUUUUUGUCUAACCAAGAAGAGCAUAAAUAUCAUAAAGAAAAGUUGGUUGGUUUUGGUUACUUACUGCGAUAAAAUAGUCUUUGAGGAAAAAUCCGUAGAAAAACCACAUACAGGCAUUGAGGGUGAGGGCUAAGGAGAGAGAUAUCGGCAUGAACUCCACGCUUCUUGUUUUGAUCACUUGCCUCUGACAUAAGAAUUCAUACAUGUAUUGGUUUCUUUCACACAGUUGUUGCUAAGAUGCCUAGGCAUAUGAAGGUAUGGAUAUGUUUUUCUACAUACCAUGAUGCUCAUUGGAGCUGCAAAUACACACAGGUUGAUAACAGCAUUUAUCCAACCUACAACAGUAAUUCUUUUGGAACCUUUACAUAACAAGGUUGUGAGCAGCAUGACUAAGCUGCAUGCUCCCAGGUUAAAUAGAAGUAUUAACUUCAAUGUGAAAUACUGCAAAUGGUCAGAAAUAAGGACUGUUAAAUAAGUUCUGAAACCGCUGAACUUCCGUUCAAGUUCAAUAUCACUUGUGUUUUUGUUUCUAAAACAGAGAUAUGUAUGUUUUGAGUUUUAUCAUCUGUUGUUUAUGUAUCAAUAUGGCUUAUUAUAUGAAACAGAAGAUAUACCUUGCUCUCUUUUGGUGCAUAUACUAGAAAUAUCACCAGGUAUAUGACUUCUAUGAAGCAUCCAAAACUAUUAAUAGUGAUGAGCAGAAUUCCUCCCGGCUUGAGGGAUCCAUAAUAUAACAGCAUCAUCGCACUGAACAGCCCGACAGCAUAAGGUAAUGACUUGUACCCUUCAGAUGAUUUCCUCUUAUAAAUUCUGUAGAAUGUAGGCCUGGAAAAAGGACAUAAAGGGAGCUAUUAAGUUAUCUUAUUAUAGGAUUGCUUAAAUUAUUCAACGAUUGUACAUUCAUAAAGUUAUCUUACACUGGCGAAAGGAAUACCCCAACUGAAACAAUAUUUCCUGAGAUCCAACAACAAAAAUUAUGAAUACUUACAGCUUUAUACACUAGAAUAAUUGGGAAGGGGAAGCAAUGCGGAAAAUUCUGAGCAAGUGCGAUAAGAAAAGUUACCUAAUAUUCCAAAUAUGGCUGCAAGUGUUUGAACAGUUAAGGUUGUCAUUCUAAGGGAAGUCCUUUGAGCCUGAUAUUUUUUGUUGGCUCUCAAAGAACUUGAGAAACUUGUAUGUCUCUACUUCGGUUUAUAUAUGCAUGUAACAAAUGUUAGGCCACAAUGAUGGCUCUGUACUGAUAAAUUCUCUCAAAACAAGUAAUGCAGUUCGGCGAGAAGGUAGGCAAAAUCAGGAAAUGUACCAAUCUUUUGCAUAAGGAUAUGCUCCUAGAUAGUUAGUUAGCGGGAUGUAAUUGACAGCUGAAUCCUCUAUGUCAUGAUGUGGAGGAUGUAAUGUUAGUAAUCUGUGUAAGGUUGUGGCUAAGAAUUAUUGGAAAUUUUUUCAUGUAUCUGAAGCCCUUUUAUGUUGCAAUACACAUUGAAUAUGUUAUAAUUAAUUACUUGAUUAAAAUGAUUAGUGGCAUAACUGAUGCUUCAUGUAUAAGAUAUUUGAUACUAGAUUUUUUGUUCUAGUUCAUUCUUCGUCAGGUUUGUAAAUUUUAUGACUUGAUGGUUCUAUAACCUUAAACACAUAGCAGUAAUAUUCACUUUUCUGAUAUUUUCACAAGUUACAUCAUCAUUUUGCAGAGUAAUUUUGAUUUAAUGAAUAACUUUGAUUGCGUUUCCUAUCAAAUGCAUGUAUUUUUCUUUUUCCUCUUUAAUCACAUUCUUCCAUGUUUGCAUGAACUUUUGCUAUCAUCCAGUCUUUCUGAAUCUGAACCUGAAUCUGCCCUCGGCUAUACAGAAAGCUGCAUUGAUGAUGAAUAGAUGAUGCAGGUAAGGUAGUCACUUAUAUCUGCUUUUGAGCAUUUUACAUACGGGUUCCAAAUCUGCUUUCUAUAGGGUGAUGCAAGAUAUAUAUGUAUUAUUUUGAUAUGUUCUUUGUGGUGUAAAGUACAUAUGUUAAGAUCAUGUAAAAUUCUCGUUCCAUUUGAUGGUUGUGCACCUUUUGCUUGUUAUAAGCUCGAAAACUGAAGUUCAGUAUUCCAAUAUAAAUUGAUUGAUGAUGCA
Beta vulgaris subsp. vulgaris (sugar beet) is the source of this 4513-nucleotide RNA transcript. RefSeq lists it as hypothetical. The transcript is spliced from 6 exons. The record is from RefSeq and is a predicted model, not a curated record. Lineage: Eukaryota; Viridiplantae; Streptophyta; Magnoliopsida; Caryophyllales; Amaranthaceae.